AGGACGAACGCUGGCGGCGUGCUUAACACAUGCAAGUCGAGCGGUAAGGCCUUUCGGGGUACACGAGCGGCGAACGGGUGAGUAACACGUGGGUGAUCUGCCCUGCACUCUGGGAUAAGCCUGGGAAACUGGGUCUAAUACCGGAUAUGACCUGCUCUCGCAUGGGGGGUGGUGGAAAGAUUUAUCGGUGCAGGAUGGGCCCGCGGCCUAUCAGCUUGUUGGUGGGUAACGCCCACCAAGCCUACGACGGGUAGCCGGCCUGAGAGGGUGACCGGCCACACUGGGACUGAGACACGGCCCAGACUCCUACGGGAGGCAGCAGUGGGAAUAUUGCACAAUGGGCGCAAGCCUGAUGCAGCAACGCCGCGUGAGGACGACGGCCUUCGGUUGUAACCUCUUUAGUAGGAAGAAGCGAAAGUGACGGUACCUGACAGAAAAGCAACCGGCUAACUACGUGCCAGCAGCCGAC
Molecule: ribosomal RNA, 469 nt
Filed under: uncultured soil bacterium
Lineage: Bacteria
Description: bacterial SSU rRNA
Rfam family: Bacterial small subunit ribosomal RNA
Source: RNAcentral